This 908-nucleotide long non-coding RNA is filed under the name Ficedula albicollis (Collared flycatcher). RNAcentral describes it as "lncRNA (ENSFALG00000018009.2)". Lineage: Eukaryota; Metazoa; Chordata; Aves; Passeriformes; Muscicapidae. The record is from RNAcentral.
CAGCUCCCAGCUUCAAUGCACUGGCAGCAAUAACAAUCCAAAAGCAAUUCAGGUUGGAUUUUACAAGCCUUUAAACACAUUAUCUCUGAUUCCAGUCAAAUCAUCACUCCUGGAUGAUAUUCCUAUAAGACACGGUCAGCAGAUGUUCCUGAGUGUGAAUCCAGCUGCUUUGUCUGCUGAUGUAUGGACAGAUGUGACUUUAUCUUGUCUCAUGUCCAGGGGUGGAAUUCCAGUUUUGGGAGGCAGGAUGGCAGCAGGAAUGGACCCAGCAGGGUAUUUUGACAGGAGGUCAGGAGGAGAGGACUGAGACUGAGGAGGCCUCGAUGCUCUGCUGGGUUCCCCCAUCCCCAAACCAGGUGGGUACAGGGAGAAACUGCCCAUAGAAAAAAAAAAAAAACCAAAAAAAAAACCCAAGCAAACCCGUCAUGGUUUCUCAGGACAGGCUGGAGAACCAGCAGGAAAUUCUGCUCCUGCCCUGAGCUCAUCCCCCAGCGUGGGCAGCAGGAUGAGAAACAGAAUCCCCCCCCCCGCCCCUCUCAGGUGAAACCUCACCUGCAGAGCUCAGCCCUGCCAUCAACAUCAGGAGGAGCUGGAGCUGCUGGAGAGAGUCCAGAGGAGGCCACAGAGCUGCUCCAGGGCUGGGAGCAGAGUUUGGGUUUCCAGAGCUCCCAGAGACCCUUUCCAGCCUCCUCCUGCCCUUCCCAAGCAAAGGUCAGAUCCCGCUCCCACCUUGGGGUGUUCCCAGCACAGGAAGGACCUGGAGCUGCUGCAGGGCUGAGCCCCUCUGGAGCCAGGCUGGGAGAGCUGGGGGUGACACCUGCAGAGGAGAAGCUCCAGGAGAGCUCAGAGCCCCUGGCAGGGCCUGGAGGGGCUCCAGGAGAGCUGCAGAGGGACUGGGGACAAGGCAG